UUCUGUUGGUGGAGGGAGGUGAUGGAUUAGGAACUGCCGGAGGUGGCUUACAUGUUUGUUCGGAGGCGACGAGCGGCUGGACAAGAAGGAUUGGGAAGGCGUCGGUGGAACGAGAAGGCAACCCCAAUAGGAAAACAGCGCUGGAGAUAUCGAUGAGGGCUUACAUAUCAAAAAGGGAUGGGAAUGUUGUGAACCCUGCUGUUGGCACGGAAUUUGAUUCGCUCGAUGAGGCGUAUCAGUUUUACAACCUGUACUCCAGGGAAGUUGGCUUCGGAAUAAGAUUUGCAAAAAGUAGAUUGAAUGUUAACAGACGAAAGUGUAUGCAAGAGAUUGUCUGCGGCUGUGCAAGUAAACCGCUUAGGGAGAACACUAGGUCAACGAGGUGCGGGUGCACCGCUAGGAUAAGGUUAUUGCGGUCAUCAGACAAUGGAUGGUAUAUCAGCGAGCACCGGGAU
Molecule: long non-coding RNA, 455 nt
Organism: Hordeum vulgare subsp. vulgare (domesticated barley)
Lineage: Eukaryota; Viridiplantae; Streptophyta; Magnoliopsida; Poales; Poaceae
Exons: 3
Source: RefSeq, a predicted model, not a curated record